GAUGAACGCUGGCGGCGUGCCUAAUACAUGCAAGUCGAGCGAACAGACGAGGAGCUUGCUCCUCUGACGUUAGCGGCGGACGGGUGAGUAACACGUGGAUAACCUACCUAUAAGACUGGGAUAACUUCGGGAAACCGGAGCUAAUACCGGAUAAUAUAUUGAACCGCAUGGUUCAAUAGUGAAAGACGGUUUUGCUGUCACUUAUAGAUGGAUCCGCGCCGCAUUAGCUAGUUGGUAAGGUAACGGCUUACCAAGGCAACGAUGCGUAGCCGACCUGAGAGGGUGAUCGGCCACACUGGAACUGAGACACGGUCCAGACUCCUACGGGAGGCAGCAGUAGGGAAUCUUCAGCAAUGGGCGAAAGCCUGACGGAGCAACGCCGCGUGAGUGAUGAAGGUCUUCGGAUCGUAAAACUCUGUUAUUAGGGAAGAACAAAUGUGUAAGCAACUAUGCACGUCUUGACGGUACCUAAUCAGAAAGCCACGGCUAACUACGUG
RNAcentral lists this ribosomal RNA (497 nucleotides) under uncultured bacterium. Its description in RNAcentral is "partial 16S ribosomal RNA". It matches the Rfam family "Bacterial small subunit ribosomal RNA", at positions 28 to 507 of the family's 1533-position model. The record is from RNAcentral.